This 292-nucleotide ribosomal RNA is filed under the name uncultured bacterium. RNAcentral's name for it is "partial 16S ribosomal RNA". The record is from RNAcentral.
GGACUACUAGGGUUUCUAAUCCCGUUCGCUCCCCUCGCUUUCGCCCCUGAGCGUCAGGUACCAGCCAGGACACUGCCUUCGCCUUUGGUGUUCUUCCGGAUCUCUACGCAUUUCACCACUCCACCCGGAGUUCCAUGUCCCUCUCUGGCCCUCAAGUCCUUCAGUCUGCGCGGCACUCCCUUCGUUAAGCGAAGAGCUGUCACCGCACACUUGAAAAACCGCCUGCGGGCGCUUUACGCCCAGUAACUCCGGACAACGCUCGCCCCCUACGUAUUACCGCGGCGGCUGGCAC